GUCCUACGGGAGGCAGCAGUGGGGAAUAUUGCACAAUGGGGGGAACCCUGAUGCAGCGACGCCGCGUGAAGGAAGAAGUAUCUCGGUAUGUAAACUUCUAUCAGCAGGGAAGAAAGAGGACAGUACCUGACUAAGAAGCCCCGGCUAACUACGUGCCAGCAGCCGCGGUAAUACGUAGGGGGCGAGCGUUAUCCGGAUUUACUGGGUGUAAAGGGAGCGUAGACGGUACGCCAAGUCCGAAGUGAAAUGCCGCAGCUUAACUGCGGAACUGCUUUGGAAACUGGCGGGCUGGAGUGCGGGAGGGG
RNAcentral lists this ribosomal RNA (305 nucleotides) under uncultured bacterium. Its description in RNAcentral is "bacterial SSU rRNA". It matches the Rfam family "Bacterial small subunit ribosomal RNA", at positions 335 to 657 of the family's 1533-position model. The record is from RNAcentral.